UUGCCUGUUUGUUCUUUUCAGUUUUUGUAAACUGAAAUGCAUUGUGAUGAAUUCUGACAAAUGACUUUUGGAUAUUUUUUUUUUUGUACCUGCGAGAAGAGGAAGUAAAAUAUCUUCUCACAUUACGCAGCUUUGUCACCAGUCACCACUGUGGAAUAGCUGACGCAAGCUAACCUUGAAACUGUCAAGAAUGCACACACUCAAACCUAAAUCUGAUGACAGAAUUUGUGGGACCCUUUAUCUCAGCAAUCAAACACAGGUACAAUAGCUAGGUGUUCCAUUGCUCUCAGCAAUACAUCCUCUUGAGCCACAAUGUCCUCACACAGUUGGUUGGUGAACACUAUGACAGUGUUAUGGGUCCAAAGGGAAUUAAAUAAAUAGAAUUGCUGCUUUUCUGUUUUGUUGCAGAGAAGGAUGGACGAGGGAUGGAUGAUGCUGUUUUCAGUCCUAAUUUCAGACAGUGAUAGACGUUAUGUAAUGUUGCUUAACAAAACUAUGUGUACAUUUAUAAUAUUUAUAAACUAAAGAUUAUCACCAUUAUGCAAUAGACUGUGAUAUAAAGAUUAUCUAUAUGUGUGUUGUAAAUAGUUUUUGUAGAUCUAGUAUUUACAGAUACUGUGUGGUGCAUUCUCAAUCAUAACAAUGUCUUACUUCUUUCAGGAACCUUGAUAUCUUCAUCAUCAUCAUCAUCAUCAUCUAUAUGCGGAAAAAAAAGUUCAUAAGUGACAACAAUGCAUAUAUUCAUUAGAGAUAAGAAAACCUUAAUGCAAUAGCUAGCACUACUUGACACUGAGAAAUGCCUGUCAAACUGAGAAUCUUCAUUUGUCUGCAUUUAUAUACCUGUUUCCUUAUUUAUUUAUUUAAAACAUCUAGCAAGCAAAAGAGAAGUGAAUGAGAGAUGAAAUAUUUUUUUAACACUGAGGUUUCAACACUUUUCAACACGUUUAACACUCUGAGCUUUCAACACUUUUCAACACGUUUAACACUGAGGUUUCAACACUUUUCAACACAUUUAUAGUAGGGACUCCUUAACACCUGUUAUUGUACACUUCAAACAUGUCUCCCCUGUAUGUUCAUCUACUUUGGAACAGUAUUAUUUCUAGAGAUAUUUCAUUUCAGUCGUAUGCUACACAAUACAGUAAUACCCUUUUACAGUGUAUGUUAAAGUCCUAAUAUCUUACUAUGAGUGUGCUGGGUGAGUAAAUCUACCCAUUCCUUACAGCAAUUAAGAGUUAUUAUAUGUUUGAUUACCCAUACACAAUGUGACACUUUAGAAUUACUGUAAAUAUGAAUCAUUGUUGAAUCUAUCAUAUCGUGACACCAAACGUUUUAGUUAGUUUUGCCACCUUCUGAUUUUUAUUUUUUAAAUUAAUUUUUUAUGUCAUUCGGAGGUAAAUGGAAUGACAUCCAAACAAAAUGUGUUAAAUGUUUGGAUGUUUUAGUCUGUGUCUUUCUGCUUUUUUUAAAUUUAUUUUUCAUAUUUACUUUCAUUGACUCACCUUUCAUAUCAUGUAUUCAAAUAAUGUGAUCGUCCAGUGUGGCAGGCAGACUGCCUAUUUUAAAUCCCAUUCAUCUCAAUGGAAAGAAACGUUUUUCCUUCCGACAGAAAAUGUAUACAUUCUGUCUUUUUCUGCAAUAUGCCCAUCUGCUGUAGGUUUGCAGUCCAGGCGCGUGAACUUUCCAGUCACGGAUAAUGUUGAAGAAGACUGGCAUGACCUUUCCAGAUUCUUCUCUCUCUCUUUGAAUAGGUCAUGUUGUAAGUUCAAGCGGUUUGGGCCCAUUUUUAAAAACAAUCACAGUGUGUGAAUUAGAGCGAGAGCAACACGGGUUGCAUUAAGGUUUCUGUCUCUUGUGCGUCUGAAUCCAUCAUUAGUAAACUGUAACAAUAUCAACAUCAAUAAAAUGUUUAAGCUUAUUUAUUUAGUAUCCUGGGGGGUCCAGAAAUGUGACUCAACUUUGAGUCAAUUCAUUUGAGGUCAGUCAUUCUAACACAGAUUACCCUGUGAGGUCGUAGUCUAUUUGACGUGCUUAUGAAUUUGUGUGUACGUUUGUUAGAGACCCCUAUGUAUUGUGUAUAGUGACCAUGUGAGUAAUUAGUAUGAUAUGUUCCUCACAGACGACCACCCUCUCAUGGUUUUAGAGUCACAAUCUUCAUGGCGCCAAACAUGCUCCAUCAGUCGGCUCAGAGUAUGUAAGCCCUUAGAGAAGCACUUAAAAAGAUUACCAGUACUUCAGUACAGACAACGUGUGUCAACAUUCUACCAAUACAGAGUCCACCCAAAAAAUGUAUCAUAAAAAGCAUGCACUCUCACAAAUACUUAAAAAGAUACUAUUCUAAAAAAAUAAUUAUGACGUUAAAUGUACUGUGAGAUUAUGUUUUGUUCAUUGUCUGUCUAGACGUUAUUUGUGUGCAAUGGAAGCGUUGACAUUUUCACAAAAGGACACUUAAGUAUUUGUGCCUAAAACUGUAGCCAUGUUCGAUACUUUGUUUUGUUUUGAGUGCGAGGAGUUAUAAUGUGUACCUGUACACACACAUACAUUACUCUAUCAUAUGUGUUCUAUGUUUCAAUAUUUUUAGAGAGGAAGAUGUAACCAAUGAAGAUGAUGGCCAAAAUGUCUCAGUUUAACAAUUGGAAUCUUUGAAAACAAUGUGAACUUCUGUAAAAAGGCUCUCUCUUUCUAAUAUAGUACUCUCAGAAUUACAAUAAUGACUAGUACAGUCUCUACAGAACUGGGAGGAUACUAACAUGUUGACAAGACGUUGUAAAAAUUUGGAGCACCUUUGUAACUUUCUUUGUAGCUAGCCACUGGUGUUUUGUUGAUUAUUAAUGUUGCGUGGAAUGAAACUGGCCAAAGCAAAACAUUCAAAGUAAUUUUCUUUGUUUUGAAUUGCACUUUCUGAUGAAAGCUGAUACAGACUCUUCAGUCAGUUAGUUUAAGUGAAUAGAAGGUUAAAAGGGAGAUGUAUCAUCUAGAUUGGAACACUCUGACCCAUUCUAGGGUUCUAAACAUGGAGAGAUGUUCUAUUACAACAAAGAUGUUCUAUUACAACAAAGAUGUUAUAUUACAACAAAGACUGCUUCAUCCUGAUCUGCCAUAGUGAAUGUAUUCAUGGGUUUCACCUCCGUCUCGUCGUUGCCAUUAUGAACAUUCUACAGACGCCGCAGCCAUAUUGGUUCCCAAAAUGUCCAGUGAUGCCCAUUCAUUCUGAACUGGGCUAAUGUUUUACAUUUAAGUCAUUUAGCAGAUGCUCUUAUCCAGAGCGACUUACAAAUGGCUGUUUAAUCUAAAAAAACACUAUAGUGGCCUGGAAAUAUGAUGACAUUGCUAAAGUAGGCAAAUAUUUAGUAGGAAUCAACUUUGCCAUCAUUAUUAAUGUGGUCAAAUUUACUUUAGACAGAUGGCAAUGUUGUCAUUAGCUAGCAAAGAUUGUCAAAAAUAGUUAGCAAAGCUAACUUUAGCUAGCUUAAAUCCAGUGGUCUCCCCUCAAUCUUAGCUAGCUAGCUAAUGUUAUACUGUAUCUACAGUCAAUCUGGAGACAUUAUUUUACCCUUCUCUUACCAGAUAAAUUGACUGAAAACACAUUUUCAUUUACAGCAAUGACCUGGGGAAUAGUUACAGGGGAGGGGAGGGGGGGAUGAAUGAGCCAAUUGGACAAUGAUGACAAAAUAUUUUCCUACAAAUUAUUUGCGAAUGUAUUUCAAGCCACUGUCAUGCACUAUUGAUGAAAUCUUCAUCAGUGCCAAUUGACAAUGCAUUGAGUAGAAGGCUCAGUUGGGCAUCAGUCCUAAAACGAAUGUUCAAAACAAAAUUGUGACGAAACGUGGAACUCAUGAAUAGGAACUAUUGCACGAUUCAGAUGGAUAGCAGCACUGUUGGUUUGUUCUGUUUUUGCUACUUGCCUUUGGAAGGGAAAGCUUCCCAACUAUGUGCUUUUUUUUCUCUCAAAAUAAUUCCGACCACAGCUAUCUAGCAUUCUGGAAUGGGCAUUAUGAUGUAUGUAUAGUACAACACGAACGGACAAAAUCAGCUUACAGUUUUAGCAGUAUGGAGAACUCUCAAUAAACCAGCACAUAUAUUGGUACAUUUAUAUUGUUUUGCUUUAUAAAAAAAAAAAAAUGCUAAAUGAACAAAGCCCAAUGCCCAGACAAAGGAAACAAGGGACUUUAUUCACAAAGCCUCUCUGAGUAGGAGUGCUGACCUAGGAUCAGACUUGACCUUUUAGAUAAAUUAAUGCGAUUAUUUGGACAAAGGGGAAAAAAAUGAUCUUAGAUCAGUACUCGUAGUCUGAGAUGCUUUUGUGAAUACUGGGCCCUGAACUUUUGGGUUCUGACCUCGACAGUGCAGGUUUAAUACGUUAACUGAUAAUGUGCGAUAAUGUGCAUCUUGGAGAGAUCAUGGUGUAGAUAAUGCUGUAAGUUACGAGCCACACGUACGCUCCUCUUAAACCCCGCUGACAGAUCAUUCAUGUUAAUAAAACAAGCUUGGUAAAAAUGAACAAUAGUUACUUGACACGGACUAAGGAAAGUACAUGUAAAACUUUCUUACAACUAUAUGCAGACAAAUGGUGUUUGUCUAAAAAAUAUUUUGAUUUCUGUUUGAAUUUUGUUUUGUUUGUAAAUAAUAAACCUUCAACAUGUAGAAAAUAAAAGACAUAUUGUCAUUUA
Molecule: long non-coding RNA, 4667 nt
Organism: Coregonus clupeaformis (lake whitefish)
Lineage: Eukaryota; Metazoa; Chordata; Actinopteri; Salmoniformes; Salmonidae
Exons: 2
Source: RefSeq, a predicted model, not a curated record